RNAcentral lists this ribosomal RNA (504 nucleotides) under uncultured Glomeromycotina. RNAcentral's name for it is "SSU rRNA". It matches the Rfam family "Eukaryotic small subunit ribosomal RNA", at positions 591 to 1102 of the family's 1831-position model. The record is from RNAcentral. Lineage: Eukaryota; Fungi; Glomeromycota.
CCAAUAGCGUAUAUUAAAGUUGUUGCAGUUAAAAGCUCGUAGUUGAAUUUCAGGAUUAAUAUGCUGGUCGUGCCAUUGGUACGUACUAGUAUUAUUGAUUUCUCCCUUCUGAUGAAUCAUGAUGUCAUUAAUUUGAUGUCAUGGGGAAUCAGAACUGUUACUUUGAAAAAAUUAGAGUGUUUAAAGCAGGCUCGCGCUUGAAUACAUUAGCAUGGAAUAAUGAAAUAGGACGUUUGAUUCUAUUUUGUUGGUUUCUAGAAUUGACGUAAUGAUUAAUAGGGAUAGUUGGGGGUAUUAGUAUUCAAUUGUCAGAGGUGAAAUUCUUGGAUUUAUUGAAGACUAACUACUGCGAAAGCAUUUGCCAAGGAUGUUUUCAUUAAUCAAGAACGAAAGUUAGGAGAUCGAAGACGAUCAGAUACCGUUGUAGUCUUAACCAUAAACUAUGCCGACUAGGGAUCGAAUGAUGUUAAUUAUGACUCAUUCGGCGCCUUACGGGAAACCGUU